This 478-nucleotide ribosomal RNA is filed under the name uncultured bacterium. RNAcentral describes it as "partial 16S ribosomal RNA". It matches the Rfam family "Bacterial small subunit ribosomal RNA", at positions 28 to 507 of the family's 1533-position model. The record is from RNAcentral.
GAUGAACGCUGGCGGCGUGCCUAACACAUGUAAGUCGAACGGAGUCCAGCCUUUAAGACCUUCGGGUCAAAGAGGGGAAGACUGAGUGGCGGACGGGUGAGUAACACGUGGGCAACCUGGCUCAUAGAGGGGGAUAACAGAGAGAAAUUUCUGCUAAUACCGCAUAAGCACACACUGCCGCAUGGCAGAGGGUGAAAAGAGAAUCGCUAUGAGAUGGACCCGCGUCUGAUUAGCCAGUUGGCAGGGUAAGAGCCUACCAAAGCGACGAUCAGUAGCCGAUCUGAGAGGAUGAACGGCCACAUUGGGACUGAGACACGGCCCAAACUCCUACGGGAGGCAGCAGUGGGGGAUAUUGCACAAUGGGGGGAACCCUGAUGCAGCGACGCCGCGUGAGUGAAGAAGUAUUUCGGUAUGUAAAGCUCUAUCAGCAGGGAAGAUAAUGACAGUACCUGAAUAAGAAGCCCCGGCUAACUACGUG